UGGUGUUUAAGACAUAUGAGCUGGCAGG
This 28-nucleotide non-coding RNA is filed under the name Mus musculus (house mouse). The record is from RNAcentral. Lineage: Eukaryota; Metazoa; Chordata; Mammalia; Rodentia; Muridae.